This 236-nucleotide unclassified non-coding RNA is filed under the name Hevea brasiliensis (rubber tree). Lineage: Eukaryota; Viridiplantae; Streptophyta; Magnoliopsida; Malpighiales; Euphorbiaceae. The record is from RNAcentral.
GAAAGUUACUGCCUCCAAUUGCCUCCAAUUACAUGUUCUAAAAAUAAAAUGCUUAAUUAGUAACAUUAAUAUAUAGAUAAAUGUAGCAUUCCCUGCACUAUAUUUAUUCAUUUCCUAUAUAUAUUUUAAAUUUUGAGCCGAGUUUUUACAGAGCAAGGAAACAUAAAUGAAACAUAUCAUUUAUUGGAAUUUAAAUUGGCUAAAUAAAAGGAUUUUGAUUUUGUGGUUACAUCUUG